GGUCAGUGAUGAGAUGUAAAAGGUCCGAAGCCUUCGUCUCUCUCUCCAGUCCUUCUGUCCCUCCCAGCAGCCACGGUUAAUUUUUCUCCAGCUUGCUCUAGUCGUGCAUCGCUGGUUCGAGGUGGCGGCUGAUAUUAUGGAUGAGUCUGCUGUAUAUUUAGAGUCUUUUAGAGAGCAAGACGACUUGAUAACAGCAGUGUCAAACAGUAACAUAACACACAGGAGGGCCGGACUGAAGGAGAACGUCUGGCAGGCUCAUGAUCUCAAGUUUUCAAGCUGAGACC
Molecule: non-coding RNA, 284 nt
Organism: Sinocyclocheilus grahami
Lineage: Eukaryota; Metazoa; Chordata; Actinopteri; Cypriniformes; Cyprinidae
Source: Ensembl